Long non-coding RNA from Centruroides sculpturatus (bark scorpion), 211 nucleotides. RefSeq lists it as uncharacterized. The transcript has 2 exons. The record is from RefSeq and is a predicted model, not a curated record. NCBI's taxonomy places the organism in Eukaryota, Metazoa, Arthropoda, Arachnida, Scorpiones, Buthidae.
CCAAAAUCAGUCACCUGAGGAUGGCCUACGCAUUAGGCUGUAAACAUUAGUGCAUAACCAAGAAAUGUUUUUUAGCAUCCACAGGUGUUUAGUGAUGAAUUAUUUCUACUAUUUUUGAAUGAUAACAAAGAGGAAGACUAUGUGGAAGAAUUAUUAGAGAAACAGUCUGAAUUAAUAUAUUAUCUACGACAGCACACCAUUCAUCUUGGCA